This 59-nucleotide ribosomal RNA is filed under the name Tulasnella sp. Hm1. RNAcentral's name for it is "Epulorhiza sp. Hm1 partial 25S ribosomal RNA". The record is from RNAcentral. Lineage: Eukaryota; Fungi; Basidiomycota; Agaricomycetes; Cantharellales; Tulasnellaceae.
UACACCUCAACUUCGGGUAGGACUACCCGCUGAACUUAAGCAUAUCAAUAAGCGGAGGA